This is a long non-coding RNA of Nicotiana tabacum (common tobacco), 572 nucleotides long. RefSeq lists it as uncharacterized. NCBI's taxonomy places the organism in Eukaryota, Viridiplantae, Streptophyta, Magnoliopsida, Solanales, Solanaceae. The record is from RefSeq and is a predicted model, not a curated record.
GGUAUAGGAGCGCUGGAAUUGCGCUCCAAAAAAAAAAUGAAUGCUCCAAAAAUUUACUUUCACGGUAAAAUCCCUCCAAAAAUUCACUUUCACCCUAAAAUCCCUCCAAAAAUUCCUUUCACGUUAAAAUUCCUAAGCGGCGACUAAUAAACUUCAUCAGAAUUCAGAAGGUUGCAACUUCAUCAUUCAAAACUCAGAAGGUUUUCAUCUCUCUCCAAGCGACUCUACACAAACUCUACCAUUGGAUUGUCCGCAAAUCAAGACGCAACAGACUAAUUUCCAGCAUCUAGUUCAGGAGAAUGACUAUUCCGAUUCUUGAUGAUACCAAGUUUUGGAUAGUGAGGUUUACAAGAAGCAGAUUUUUGACGACGUACAGAUUGACCAUAUAUCUUUUGCUGCGAAUGUCAAUAAAAUUUUACAUUACAGUCUAGGGUUAUUAGUGAUAUGUAGUUUUUUGCUAAGGGUUUAUGAACACAAUACUGUGACUCGCUUACAUUAUUGAUGUGCGGUGCAAGUAACUGUUGAUCACUUUUGGUAAUUAUUUUAUGAAAGUAGUAUCAUCUUUAUAUUAA